RNAcentral lists this unclassified non-coding RNA (779 nucleotides) under Hevea brasiliensis (rubber tree). The record is from RNAcentral. Lineage: Eukaryota; Viridiplantae; Streptophyta; Magnoliopsida; Malpighiales; Euphorbiaceae.
AAAAAAAAAAAAAAAGAAAUAAAAGCCCGUGAUAAAAAUAAUAGUAAGUCCAACCUAUCAAAUUGACUCAAAUCAAUAACCAAAUCCAAUUCAUAAAGCAUCCCCAAUCUAAGAAUCUAGGGUUACAGCGAAAAAAGCAACAUUGAUACACCGCCGACGUCCCUUAGCACUUACCUCAACUAGAAUUUUUGAGCCAAUGACCGGAGCCAACAACUUUUGCCAGCAACGCAAGACGUCCAUCAAACGCACAGCAACUCAAUCCACCAUGGUUCUCCCUUCUUCUAGACAGAUACUUCAAGCUUGACUCAACUACGAUAAUCGGGACUGUCGUAGAGUUCUCUAGCAUACCAAGUCAAAUGGGAAGAUCUUCUCAACUGUGGUAGAAAAGUAGAUCUUGGAGUUGCAUUACAGUCGGAGCAAAGAGACUCGCUUAUCACAGCGAGCAGACUCAUCUUUCCAACAGCAAUACAGAUCAAUCGAAACUAUACUAAACCCGUAUAUAGACUAACCUAGCUGGGGGACGGCUGUCCCUCAACCUAGGCCAAAACCAAAAGCAGCAUCUAGAAACCUUCCCGUACUCUAAGGCAAGGGAAUCCGAUAAGAAAACAUGGAAGAUCAGUGAGAUGAGCAGCGAAAUCUCCCUCUCCUAAACAAGAGAGAAGAAAGCUUUAUGGUCCACUCUGUGUAUUUGCACGCUUUAUGUAAUUAAAAUUACAUUUGGCCAACUUUUUCAUAUUUCACUCACUUGUAAAAGGAAGUUUAAUUCUAUAAGAUAUUCG